UACGGGGGGGGCAAGCGUUGUUCGGAAUUACUGGGCGUAAAGGGCUCGUAGGUGGCCAACUCAGUCAGACGUGAAAUCCCUCGGCUUAACCGGGGAACUGCGUCUGAUACUGGAUGGCUUGAGGUUGGGAGAGGGAUGCGGAAUUCCAGGCGUAGCGGUGAAAUGCGUAGAUAUCUGGAGGAACACCGGUGGCGAAGGCGGCAUCCUGGACCAAUUCUGACACUGAGGAGCGAAAGCCAGGGGAGCAAACGGG
This 253-nucleotide ribosomal RNA is filed under the name uncultured bacterium. Its description in RNAcentral is "partial 16S ribosomal RNA". It matches the Rfam family "Bacterial small subunit ribosomal RNA", at positions 524 to 776 of the family's 1533-position model. The record is from RNAcentral.